UCUACAAUGUGAAUUUUGUUAAUUAUAACUUUAUACUUUAUGCAUAUUAGCAUUUUAAUAAUAAUGUAUGUCUUGUAUGCUCUGUCACAUGUACUUGGCUGCAUUUCUCAUAUUUGCUGCCUUACUUUGUUUGCUUGUUUGAUAAUGACUUUAAUAGCACCAGAGGUUGAGAUUGCUGGUGUUGAUGCCCCUGCCAUAUUCUCAUUUAGAAGUUUGUUGGUUAAGAUUGCUGGCAGUAUUGUUGCUGUGUCAUCGGGUGGAUCAAAGAAAUACGGGUUGACAUGGAGAUGGCUUAGAUUUUUUAAUAAUGAUCAAAAGCGGCGUGAUCUUGUAACUUGUGGAUCAGCUGCUGGAAUUGAUGCUGCUUUUCGUGCCCCAGUUGGUGUACUUUUUGCUUUUGAAGAAGUGGCAUCUUGAUAAUCUAUGGCAACUAAUCAGUGGAGAAGUACCCUUUUGUGGAUAGGUUUCUUUUCAACUGCCAUAGUUGAAAUUUUGCUCCGGGGUCUAACAGAUACAUGCUUGAGUGGAAAAUGUGGACUGUUUGGGACCGGAGGAAAGUGUUAAACAACAAAGAAGAAGCGUAAGCGAC
Molecule: RNA transcript, 589 nt
Organism: Helianthus annuus (common sunflower)
Lineage: Eukaryota; Viridiplantae; Streptophyta; Magnoliopsida; Asterales; Asteraceae
Gene name: putative chloride channel-like protein CLC-g
Exons: 3
Source: RefSeq, a predicted model, not a curated record